AACGACUCUCGGCAACGGAUAUCUCGGCUCUCGCAUCGAUGAAGAACGUAGCGAACUGCGAUACUUGGUGUGAAUUGCAGAAUCCCGUGAACCAUCGAGUCUUUGAACGCAAGUUGCGCCCGAAGCCAUUAGGCCUAGGGCACGUCUGCCUGGGCGUCACGCA
This 163-nucleotide ribosomal RNA is filed under the name Veratrilla baillonii. RNAcentral's name for it is "5.8S ribosomal RNA". It matches the Rfam family "5.8S ribosomal RNA". From Rfam's summary of the family: 5.8S ribosomal RNA (5.8S rRNA) is a component of the large subunit of the eukaryotic ribosome. It is transcribed by RNA polymerase I as part of the 45S precursor that also contains 18S and 28S rRNA. The record is from RNAcentral. Lineage: Eukaryota; Viridiplantae; Streptophyta; Magnoliopsida; Gentianales; Gentianaceae.